GAUGAAGAACGUAGCGAAAUGCGAUAAGUAAUGCGAAUUGCAGAAUUCCGUGAGUCAUCGAAUCUUUGAACGCACAUUGCGCCCUCUGGUAUUCCGAAGGGCAUGCCUGUCUGAGCGUCAUUGUCAACCCUCAAGCUCAGCUUGCUGUUGGGUCCCCGUCGUUGCUUUAACGGCGGACCCGAAAGGUAAUGGCAGAGUCCGUGAGACCCUAGACGCAGCGAGCUUCUAGCACGCGUCUGGACGUUUUUCGGGCUCGGUCUUAACUAGAUGAUAACUUCCGAUUGACCUCAGAUCAGGUAGGGAUACCCGCUGAACUUAAGCAUAUCAAUAAGCGGAGGA
This 339-nucleotide unclassified non-coding RNA is filed under the name soil metagenome. RNAcentral's name for it is "partial contains 5.8S ribosomal RNA, internal transcribed spacer 2, and large subunit ribosomal RNA". The stretch from base 1 to 120 matches the Rfam family "5.8S ribosomal RNA", at positions 35 to 154 of the family's 154-position model. The record is from RNAcentral.